This 253-nucleotide ribosomal RNA is filed under the name uncultured bacterium. Its description in RNAcentral is "partial 16S ribosomal RNA". It matches the Rfam family "Bacterial small subunit ribosomal RNA", at positions 524 to 776 of the family's 1533-position model. The record is from RNAcentral.
UACAGAGGGGGCAAGCGUUAUUCGGAAUUAUUGGGCGUAAAGGGCGCGUAGGCGGCUUUGCAAGUGACGGGUGAAAGCCCUCGGCUUAACCGAGGAACUGCCUGUCAGACUGUGAGGCUUGAGACCGGGAGAGGUGAGUGGAAUUCCCAGUGUAGCGGUGAAAUGCGUAGAUAUUGGGAGGAACACCAGUGGCGAAGGCGGCUCACUGGACCGGGACUGACGCUGAGGCGCGAAAGCGUGGGGAGCAAACAGG